Molecule: unclassified non-coding RNA, 314 nt
Filed under: plant metagenome
Description: partial contains 5.8S ribosomal RNA, internal transcribed spacer 2, and large subunit ribosomal RNA
Rfam family: 5.8S ribosomal RNA (bases 1-105)
Source: RNAcentral
GAAAUGCGAUAGUUAAUGUGAAUUGCAGAAUUCAGUGAAUCAUCGAGUCUUUGAACGCACAUUGCGCCCAUAGGUAUUCCUUUGGGCAUGUCUGUUUGAGCGUCAUUACAACCCUCAGCUAACCGCUGGUUUUGAACCUGAACGGGUGACACCGCGCCGGUUUUAAAGUUGUAAGCUCUGCUGGCCGCUCUGCCCAACCAGAACAUAGUAAGCACUACUUGUCCGGGUGAUGCUGAACGGUACGGCCUGAACAAAACCUACCCACUCUCAAGGUUUGACCUCAGAUCAGACAAGGAUACCCGCUGAACUUAAGC